AUGAUGAUGAUGACAUAAGAUCACUGUGCAAUAUGAGUUCUUGGGAAGCAGGUGAUGGAAAGUGUUCUGAGAAGGAAGGAAGGAA
Molecule: non-coding RNA, 85 nt
Organism: Sorex fumeus (smoky shrew)
Lineage: Eukaryota; Metazoa; Chordata; Mammalia; Eulipotyphla; Soricidae
Product: small Cajal body-specific RNA 18
Exons: 1
Source: RefSeq, a predicted model, not a curated record